This 75-nucleotide transfer RNA is filed under the name Cordylochernes scorpioides. RNAcentral describes it as "tRNA-Thr". It matches the Rfam family "tRNA". Rfam says of the family: Transfer RNA (tRNA) molecules are approximately 80 nucleotides in length. Their secondary structure includes four short double-helical elements and three loops (D, anti-codon, and T loops). Lineage: Eukaryota; Metazoa; Arthropoda; Arachnida; Pseudoscorpiones; Chernetidae. The record is from RNAcentral.
UGUCCAGGGUAGCCUAGUGGACAUGGCAUCUGCCCGGUAAGCGGAACACUGUGGGUUCGAUUCCCAUCCCUAUAC